AGGUCGGCAGUGUGUCCUGGAUGCUGUCAAUCAUUUCCUUGAUUGGCGGGGAAUGCAGCUCCCAGCUCAAUGGCAGCUUAAACCAAGUACCAGACGCUGGGUCGAACAUGCAGUGCACAUUACGAUGCUCCUCAAAAAAGGUGGUCCAGGAAACCCAAGCGGUCAUCAUUCAUAUCAUUUGUGGAGCUGUUCCCAGUCUCAUCGAGUCUUACAUCACUUGUGGAAACAUUCUGAGAUUGGGGAUUGUUCCUGUCAUUGCUCUGGAUAAAUCCACAGGAUAACCACUCAUCUGGGAAGGGCUGCCAUUCAUCUAAGGGGAGACAAUCACAAAUUAAGUGCAGUUCACGUACAAUUUGUUAAAUUGACAAAAAAAGCAAUCACAAUAUCACAAUACUGUAUACUAUGAGAAACCAGAGUUGUAGCUAGUGGGAGGCUGGUUGGGGGUUGUGGGAGGUACACUUAAUAGCAAUUGAAUUUUUCCAUUUAUCUGUUGAUGAUAAUCAUUUGUUGAACAUGUAUAUUAGUGACAACAAUAUCAGAGAUUGUUCACACAGUUUACAAUCAGGAUCAUAAACUAAUGAAUAAAAUGAAUAUCUAAUGUAGGUUAAAAGAUGAAUUAUGAAUUAGUUACACUAAUGCAGUAUAGCAAUCUUUUAACAGAAAUGGUCAAAGCCAGGGGCUCAUAAGUAGUGGGAAUCGGCUUCCCCACAUUCUGGUGUUAUAUAAGUGUCACGGUACUUGUUAUUCACGAAUCGCCAUCUCCCACAGCUGGCCCCAGCCCCCCUUUACCAUCAGUACCUAUUGCCCAUGAAUCACAGAUGUCCCAUAACCCCACCACCUCCCUUUACAAUUAGUAAUUGUUAUCCAUGAAUCACUAAUUCAUAGAUCUAAUGUGUGCACGAUUACCCAAUCAGGAAGCAGCAAAUAGAAGCCAGGGAAGUUGAAACCAAAUGCCUCACAAAUUGUAUAACAUAUCAGAUGCGGACAGUGAAUCCUGCUUGUUUAUCUAAGACGUUUACAGAGGUUUUCCUGCUACUUGGGAAAUAUAACACGGUCACCUAACAUGAUGGAAACUUGUCUUGUUGUCCAAGCUUGGUCUAAAUCUUAUUGAGAAGCAUAGAAAUAAAUAACUUUGAGUUUCAUUGUUGAAUAGACAAGGCAGAAUCCAGAUCAAAUAUAAAAACUUUGGAAUAAUAAGAUAAAGCGGUGCUCUCUUUGGUAUGUACUAUGUGUUUAUGUGUUUUCAAAGCUGCUUUUUUGUCAACUUGCAGAGAUUUAAGUGCAGGAAAAAUAGAAGAGAAAGCAGAAUUUGCUGUUUACGCCUGACUUCUAACCACCUUUUUCGGCAAACCUCAAGAUUCACA
Long non-coding RNA from Nematostella vectensis (starlet sea anemone), 1364 nucleotides. RefSeq lists it as uncharacterized. NCBI's taxonomy places the organism in Eukaryota, Metazoa, Cnidaria, Anthozoa, Actiniaria, Edwardsiidae. The transcript is spliced from 2 exons. The record is from RefSeq and is a predicted model, not a curated record.